AAGUCGUAACAAGGUUUCCGUAGGUGAACCUGCGGAAGGAUCAUUAACAAAUCUCUUAUUAAAAGUGUCAUAAAUAUAUAUAUAUUUAUUGACCUUUUACAACUUGUGAACUGUUCUAUAUUUUUGAGAAUUGGGGAAUACAUAUAUAUAUAUAUAUUAUAUAUAUAUGUUUCAUACACUUUUAUAAUUAUGAAAAUUAUUUUCAUGAACCGGUUUAUAUAUAAUAACUGGGACAAAGUAUAUAUAUUUUAUAUAUAUCUAUAAAAUAAUUAUACAACUUUUAACAAUGGAUCUCUUGGCUCUC
Molecule: unclassified non-coding RNA, 304 nt
Filed under: fungal sp.
Lineage: Eukaryota; Fungi
Description: partial internal transcribed spacer region
Rfam family: Eukaryotic small subunit ribosomal RNA (bases 1-46)
Source: RNAcentral